This 421-nucleotide ribosomal RNA is filed under the name uncultured bacterium. RNAcentral describes it as "partial 16S ribosomal RNA". It matches the Rfam family "Bacterial small subunit ribosomal RNA", at positions 360 to 773 of the family's 1533-position model. The record is from RNAcentral.
AAUAUUUGACAAUGGGCGAAAGCCUGAUCCAGCCAUGCCGCGUGUGUGAAGAAGGUCUUCGGAUUGUAAAGCACUUUAAGUUGUGAGGAAAGGCAGUAAGUUAAUACCUUGCUGUUUUGACGUUACCCACAGAACUAGCACUGGCUCUCUUCGUGCCAGCAUCCGCGGUAAUACGAAGGGUGCAAGCGUUAAUCGGAAUUACUGGGCGUAAAGCGCGCGUAGGUGGUUUGUUAAGUUGGAAGUGAAAGCCCCGGGCCCAGCCUGGGAGCUGCUUUCAAAACUGGCAAGCUAGAGUACGGUAGAGGGUAGUGGAAUUUCCUGUGUAGCGGUGAAAUGCGUAGAUAUAGGAAGGAACACCAGUGGCGAAGGCGACUACCUGGACUGAUACUGACACUGAGGUGCGAAAGCGUGGGGAGCAAAC